GUGCCAGCAGCCGCGGUAAUACAGAGGGUGCGAGCGUUAAUCGGAAUUACUGGGCGUAAAGCGCGCGUAGGCGGCUUUUCAAGUCGAUUGUGAAAUCCCCGGGCUUAACCUGGGAACUGCAGUCGAGACUGUCUAGCUAGAGUAUGGGAGAGGGAAGUGGAAUUUCAGGUGUAGCGGUGAAAUGCGUAGAUAUCUGAAGGAACAUCAGUGGCGAAAGCGACUUCCUGGACCAAUACUGACGCUCAUGUGCGAAAGCGUGGGGAGCAAACAGGAUUAGAAACCCGCGUAGUCC
Molecule: ribosomal RNA, 292 nt
Filed under: uncultured bacterium
Lineage: Bacteria
Description: partial 16S ribosomal RNA
Rfam family: Bacterial small subunit ribosomal RNA
Source: RNAcentral